UAGAGAGGAAGGUGUACCAGGGUUUUGGGUUCAUAUUCCUCCUGAGACCCUAGUUCCACAUUCUGGAGC
MicroRNA precursor from Chlorocebus sabaeus (green monkey), 69 nucleotides. Lineage: Eukaryota; Metazoa; Chordata; Mammalia; Primates; Cercopithecidae. The record is from Ensembl.